UACACUCCUGCGGGAGGCAGCAGUGGGGAAUAUUGCACAAUGGGCGCAAGCCUGAUGCAGCGACGCCGCGUGGGGGAUGAAGGCCUUCGGGUUGUAAACUCCUUUCGCUAGGGACGAAGCUUUUUUGUGACGGUACCUAGAUAAGAAGCACCGGCUAACUACGUGCCAGCAGCCGCGGUAAUACGUAGGGUGCGAGCGUUGUCCGGAAUUACUGGGCGUAAAGGGCUCGUAGGUGGUUUGUCGCGUCGUCUGUGAAAUUCUGGGGCUUAACUCCGGGCGUGCAGGCGAUACGGGCAUAACUUGAGUGCUGUAGGGGUAACUGGAAUUCCUGGUGUAGCGGUGAAAUGCGCAGAUAUCAGGAGGAACACCGAUGGCGAAGGCAGGUUACUGGGCAGUUACUGACGCUGAGGAGCGAAAGCAUGGGUAGCGAACAGGAUUAGAUACCCCAGUAGUCCCAUG
Molecule: ribosomal RNA, 459 nt
Filed under: uncultured organism
Description: partial 16S ribosomal RNA
Rfam family: Bacterial small subunit ribosomal RNA
Source: RNAcentral